Molecule: ribosomal RNA, 497 nt
Filed under: uncultured bacterium
Lineage: Bacteria
Description: partial 16S ribosomal RNA
Rfam family: Bacterial small subunit ribosomal RNA
Source: RNAcentral
GAUGAACGCUGGCGGCGUGCCUAAUACAUGCAAGUCGAGCGAACGGACGAGAAGCUUGCUUCUCUGAUGUUAGCGGCGGACGGGUGAGUAACACGUGGAUAACCUCCCUAUAAGACUGGGAUAACUUCGGGAAACCGGAGCUAAUACCGGAUAAUAUUUUGAACCGCAUGGUUCAAAAGUAAAAGACGGUCUUGCUGUCACUUAUAGAUGGAUCCGCGCUGCAUUAGCUAGUUGGUAAGGUAACGGCUUACCAAGGCAACGAUGCAUAGCCGACCUGAGAGGGUGAUCGGCCACACGGGAACUGAGACACGGUCCAGACUCCUACGGGAGGCAGCAGUAGGGAAUCUUCCGCAAUGGGCGAAAGCCUGACGGAGCAACGCCGCGUGAGUGAUGAAGGUCUUCGGAUCGUAAAACUCUGUUAUUAGGGAAGAACAUAUGUGUAAGUAACUGUGCACAUCUUGACGGUACCAAAUCAGAAAGCCACGGCUAACUACGUG